Molecule: ribosomal RNA, 466 nt
Filed under: Nassarius pullus
Lineage: Eukaryota; Metazoa; Mollusca; Gastropoda; Neogastropoda; Nassariidae
Description: partial 16S ribosomal RNA
Rfam family: Bacterial large subunit ribosomal RNA
Source: RNAcentral
UUUGCGGUACUCUGACCGUGCAAAGGUAGCAUAAUCAUUUGCCUUAUAAUUGAAGGCUAGUAUGAAUGGUUUGACAAGAAUGAGACUGUCUCUUUAUAAUUUUAUAGAAUUUUAUUUUCAGGUGAAGAAGCCUGAGUCAAAUUAAAAGACAAGAAGACCCUAUCGAGCUUGAAAAAAGUUAAUGGAAUUAAGUGUUAAUAUUUAUAAAAAAUUAUCCAUUAAAUAUUUUAGUUGGGGCGACUAAGGAACAUAGAAAGCUUCCUUUAUCAAGUUAAUUACAAUCAAACCAGAAUUGAUCCAAAAUACUUUUGAUUAAAGGAAUUAGUUACCGUAGGGAUAACAGCAUUAUCUUUUUUAAGAGCUCAUAUCGAAAAAAAGGUUUGUGACCUCGAUGUUGGACCAGAAUAUCCUAAAGGUGCAGAAGUCUUUAAGGGUUGGUCUGUUCGACCAUUAAAUUCUACGUGAA